GGCGUAGACGGAGUGGCAAGUCUGAUGUGAAAACCCGGGGCUCAACCCCGGGACUGCAUUGGAAACUGUCAAUCUAGAGUACCGGAGAGGUAAGCGGAAUUCCUAGUGUAGCGGUGAAAUGCGUAGAUAUUAGGAGGAACACCAGUGGCGAAGGCGGCUUAUUGGACGGUAACUGACGUUGAGGCUCGAAAGCGUGGGGAGCAAACA
Molecule: ribosomal RNA, 207 nt
Filed under: uncultured bacterium
Lineage: Bacteria
Description: partial 16S ribosomal RNA
Rfam family: Bacterial small subunit ribosomal RNA
Source: RNAcentral